UACAGAGGGAGCAAGCGUUAUCCGGAAUGAUUGGGCGUAAAGCGUUUGUAGGUGGUUCGUAAAGUUUAAUGUCAAAUAUCAGGGCUCAACCCUGAACCGGCAUUGAAGCACUCACGAACUUGAGUACGGUAGAGGCAGAGGGAAUUCCUUGUGGAGCGGUGAAAUGCGUAGAGAUAAGGAGGAACACCAGUGGCGAAGGCGCUCUGCUGGGCCGAAACUGACACUGAGAAACGAAAGCUGGGGGAGCGAAUAGG
This 254-nucleotide ribosomal RNA is filed under the name uncultured bacterium. Its description in RNAcentral is "partial 16S ribosomal RNA". It matches the Rfam family "Bacterial small subunit ribosomal RNA", at positions 524 to 776 of the family's 1533-position model. The record is from RNAcentral.